AUUGAACGCUGGCGGCAUGCUUUACACAUGCAAGUCGAACGGUAACAGGCCGCAAGGUGCUGACGAGUGGCGAACGGGUGAGUAAUGCACCGGAACGUGCCCAGUCGUGGGGGAUAACUACUCGAAAGAGUAGCUAAUACCGCAUACGAUCUAUGGAUGAAAGCGGGGGACCGUAAGGCCUCGCGCGAUUGGAGCGGCCGAUGUCAGAUUAGGUAGUUGGUGGGGUAAAGGCUCACCAAGCCAACGAUCUGUAGCUGGUCUGAGAGGACGACCAGCCACACUGGGACUGAGACACGGCCCAGACUCCUACGGGAGGCAGCAGUGGGGAAUUUUGGACAAUGGGCGCAAGCCUGAUCCAGCAAUGCCGCGUGCAGGAAGAAGGCCUUCGGGUUGUAAACUGCUUUUGUACGGAACGAAACGGCUCUGGUUAAUACCCGGGGCUAAUGACGGUACCGUAAGAAUAAGCACCGGCUAACUACGUG
Molecule: ribosomal RNA, 482 nt
Filed under: uncultured bacterium
Lineage: Bacteria
Description: partial 16S ribosomal RNA
Rfam family: Bacterial small subunit ribosomal RNA
Source: RNAcentral